GAUGAACGCUGGCGGCGUGCCUAAUACAUGCAAGUCGAGCGAACAGACGAGGAGCUUGCUCCUCUGACGUUAGCGGCGGACGGGUGAGUAACACGUGGAUAACCUACCUAUAAGACUGGGAUAACUUCGGGAAACCGGAGCUAAUACCGGAUAAUAUAUUGAACCGCAUGGUUCAAUAGUGAAAGACGGUUUUGCUGUCACUUAUAGAUGGAUCCGCGCCGCAUUAGCUAGUUGGUAAGGUAACGGCUUACCAAGGCAACGAUGCGUAGCCGACCUGAGAGGGGGGCGGGCCACACUGGAAUUGAGACGGGCGCCAGCCCCCGACGGGAGGCAGCGGGAGGAAAUCUUCGCAAAGGGGCGAAACCCUGCCGGAGCAACGCCGGGGGGGUGAAGAAGUUCUGCGGGUUGUAAAACCUUUUUAUUAGGGAAAAACAAAUGGUAAAGUAACUAUGCACGUCUGAACGGAACCAAACCAAAAAGCCCCGGCAAACACCUG
Molecule: ribosomal RNA, 496 nt
Filed under: uncultured bacterium
Lineage: Bacteria
Description: partial 16S ribosomal RNA
Rfam family: Bacterial small subunit ribosomal RNA
Source: RNAcentral